Long non-coding RNA from Triticum urartu, 432 nucleotides. RefSeq lists it as uncharacterized. Lineage: Eukaryota; Viridiplantae; Streptophyta; Magnoliopsida; Poales; Poaceae. The record is from RefSeq and is a predicted model, not a curated record.
GCCUUCCGCGUCCGCCCCCCCCCCCCCCCCCCCCCCCCCCCCCCCCCUGUGUCGCCUCCAUCUUAGCAUGGAUUCGGACAGCGAAGAGAUGACCAUAGUCAUGGAUGAUGUGGAGAACGAAGAUUACAGAUCAGACAAUGAAGAUGAUGACGACAUGGAUGAUGUGGAGAACGAAGAUUACAGAUCAGAUAAUGAAGACGACGACGACGAUGCCACAGAAGAGGGUGAAGAUUGGGAGGUUGAAGAAAAUGGGGAAGUGUCUUAUCAGUGACACUGUACCCCAAGUGAUCUAUACCAUAGAAGAACAUGCUGUUUUUGUGAUUGGUCAGUGAUUGCUAGUUUUCGAUUAUGUUAUCUGGUGUUUGGUAAAAACAAAAAGUUUAGAGAAUGUUGUAUAUUGUUUUUUCCUUUCAAGUGCCUUUUAAUGCUGAA